Long non-coding RNA from Eptatretus burgeri (inshore hagfish), 2604 nucleotides. The record is from Ensembl. NCBI's taxonomy places the organism in Eukaryota, Metazoa, Chordata, Myxini, Myxiniformes, Myxinidae.
AGGUCACGCCUUGUUAUUCCUUGGUUUCACGCGCGAUGUGCCAUUCGCGGGUCAUCCUGAACGAGAGUCACGUGACGGGGAAAUAAUAUCAUGAAGGCCAUUCGGCCCAUCGUGCCCGUGCUGCACCAACCGCAGAAAACAUCACCCGUCCACGCGCAAGGUAACCCACAAGUCCAGCCAACACCCCUGUACCCCUGCACCUCCAAAUCCAUCUAGGUAUACCAAUGUAAUCCACAGUUGAUCUAUCUACUCUUCAUUGCUGCCACUACCUGAAAUUAAUGCAUCAUUCGUUCGGGCGAUGGGUCCGGGGGAUCAUCAAGGAGACCAAAUUCCAUCCAUGUAUGAACUACUCCUUGAGUGAAAGAUCUCUGCCAAUUACUACAGUCUUAACUCGAACCCUCUUUUACUUGCAGGCUACUUCUUGGUUCCUGGACCCAUCACUGUCUGUUCUGCUGAAAAACUCAGCUGCACUUAUUUUGUCCGUACCCAGCUUCAUUACAUUUGCAUGGUACCGUACUACAGUAUAUACCAAAGGUGGACCGAGGUUCUUUUCGCCCGUGUGUCUGUGAACAGGAUAUCUCAAAAAGUUAUGGAUGGGUCGGGUGUUUGACAAGGAAGAAUUGAUUCAAUUAUGGUGAAGAUCCGGAUCCGGAACCGGGCGGAGGUAUGCACUCUACCGAGUGCCCUCUAGUUGUAUAUAAUAGACUAGUGGGGGUAUGCUUACACAUUAUGUACAUGUUGUGUAAGCGUACGAACCGUGUUUCCUCAGUCUCGGGUCACUCACCUGCAUUUGAUUUUUCUUUUCUUUUUUUCAUUUAUUUAUAUUUUUAUUGACGGAUGUUUUCCGACAGAUCUGUGAUUUUUCCCGGUGUAUCGGCUUCGAUGUCCGUCGGCACACAAAAUUACCGUGCUUCCCCAUUGUCUCGGGUCACUCAUCUGCGUUUUGUCUGCGAUUUUGCGAUUAAAUUUCUUUUUUAUUUUCAUUUAUGGAUGUUGUCUGUUGAUUCUGUGAUAUUUUUUUUUUCCCGGUGUAUCGGCUUCGAUGUCCGUCAACACACAAAAUUACCGUGCUUUCCCAUUGUCUCGGGUCACUCAUCUGCGUUUUGUCUGCGAUUUGAGAUUAAAUUUCUUUUUUAUCUUCAUUUAUGGAUGUUGUCUGUUGAUUCUGUGAUUUUUUUUCCCCGGUGUACAGGCUUCGAUGUCCCGUUGGCACACAAAAUUUUAGUUUCCUCCGUCACCCGAAAGGAGCAACCGAUAAAUACAUUUUGUGAAGAUUCACUAGAAAGGAGGUGGUUACGAGGAGAUAUGAUGGAGAUGUUUAAGAUGAUGAAAGGUAUAGAUAAAAUAAGUGCAGAUUAAUUAUUCAACAGAGUAGACAGUGAUAGAACCAGGGGCCGUAGCUUGAGAGUAAAGAAGAGGAGAGUUAAAAUGGUAGUAAGGCAGGGGACUUUCACUCAGAGUAGUUAAUGCACGGAAUGGCCUUCCUGGAAAGGUAGUGGCAGCAGAAACAGUAGAUAAGUUUAAAUUAGAAUCAGAUCGGUACCUUGAAGUAAUGGAGAUUGAGGGGUAUAGGGAUGUUGGCAGGACUUUUAGGUAGUUUGAGAAUUUAUGGGUGAUUGUGUAAAUGUGUACAGAGUGCUGUUGGUGGGGGUCUCAUCAAGGGGAGUUGUGUGGUUGAUGUUGUGUUUUGUUAACCAAGAACCGUCUUCGUCCUUGCCCCCUCCUCUGGAAAUGAAAAAAAAAUACAAAAUAAAACAAUACAUUUUGCAUUUUUUUUUUGAUCUGGUGUUGAUGUGGCACAGGCAUGAUGGGCCGACUGGCCUCCUCCUGCGUCUAAUUUCCUUGUGUGUAUAAUCGUAAGUUGAGGUUGUAUAGAGUGAUUUGUUGUUCACAACACAAAUUUAAUUACUAUCCUGUUUACAUGUGUGUCUCUUAUUAAAAAUAUUUACUUACACAGGUUUAUUAUAACACCUCCGUGUUCAGACUUUGGGUGAAAAUGUUCUUAUACAUUGCCUGGGAUUUGCCUGGGAUUUUCCUGGGAGUGAUCGAGUAAUACGUUUUGUGAAGAUCGUACGUUGAAGUUGUAGUUAUGUGCAGUAUUUAAAAAUUAAUAUUAAUAAAAAGAAGUUGUAAGAAUGUAAAGUGGUCCAAGCACAUUUUGCAAUGCCCAAGAUUGGUAAGUCAUAUGAAACCAUGAGGCCAACAUUCCCCAAUUUGUCAUGCAGGAAAUAUUUUAACACAUCUUUCACUGAAUUUCCCUGGGCAACGCUGGGUUCUUCACCUCAUAUAGAUAAUAAAAUAUGACAUCUUCAAAGCAUUAUCAAAUGUGUGCAAUGCUUUAAAUUUCACAUUUUGACAAAUUUUGGGACAUUACGCAACCAACGGGACAACCAUUUUAAAUAGAAAAACAUCAUCAAUGGAGUUGGAGAGUUUUCUGGGUCACUUUUCCCAUUUGUUCCUCAUGAAAGCCUAAUGGUUUAUUAUAACACCUUUGCGUUAUAAUGACCGAGUAUUUGCGAGUAUGGUCAUGAAAAACUUUAAAUACAGCUAUUUCCAUGAUUUUUGGCUGCCAUAUUGAAAAUAAUGGAAAUGCAGGCAAUGUGG